GACGGAGCCACCCAGGAGCCCCGGGAAAUUUCUGUUGUUUUAAGCCACGCAGCUUGUGGUACUUUGAUAAGGCAGCCCCAGGAAACGCAUCAGGUCCCCAGAGCAUAUUCUGUCCCCGACUUGAUUCCUCUAAUAAACUCCAAAGCUAGCAACAAGCUGGCAAACAACUCAGGCCACGCCCCUGUUCACCACCAUCCCUAUUCCCCCAUUCCCACCUCUGCGUGCAGGUCCCCAGGACCAGAGGCUGCAGCAUCUCCGGGAGGUACGUGCUCGCCCAUAUAUCCACAGCAGCCUUCUUCACGGUAGCUGAGGGGUACGAGCCACGCAAAUGUUCAUCGACGGGUAAGUGGAUCAUCGAAAGGUGGCCUAGCCCUACCAGGGAAUAUUAUUCAGCCCCGAAAAGGAGGGAAAUUCUGACACCGGCUACGAUGCGGAUGAACCCUGAGGACGACGUGACGCUAAGGGAGAUCAGCCAGUCCACAAAGGACAAGAACUGUGGGAGCCCACUCCCAAAAGGCAGCUAGACAGACCCACGGGGACAGAAGGAAGAUCGGACGCCACAUUCAUUUGGCCGUCACGUCUCCUUAGCCUCUUACAGACCGUGCCCAUUUCUCAGACUUCCUUGUUUUUGACAAUCUGAUAGUUUCCACGACCUCAGAUAAAUAAACAUUAAACAAUUUAUAAAUGAGGAGACGAAGGCUAGCUGGCAAGGUUAAGCUUGAAGAUACUCAUCACUGGUAGUGGAUGGUCAGGGUCCUUCCCUGUGCCUCUCUGCUCCAUGAGACUUCUACCCACCGCUCAAGUCAAGCCAGUCUGGGAGGCAGGGGACAAGGAGAGCAAACGGCACCAGACACGAGCUCUCCCUGAUGGCUGAGUGGACGCAGAGGCGUAGACAGUCCCCUACGUGGCAGGUGACUCUGGAAGGACCCAAGUGAACCCUGACCGUGCGCUUGGCAGCUGGGACACCCUGCUGGCUGCUUCACCCCCACGGCUCUGU
Molecule: long non-coding RNA, 997 nt
Organism: Acinonyx jubatus (cheetah)
Lineage: Eukaryota; Metazoa; Chordata; Mammalia; Carnivora; Felidae
Exons: 4
Source: RefSeq, a predicted model, not a curated record